UGGGGAAUAUUGGACAAUGGGGGAAACCCUGAUCCAGCAAUGCCGCGUGAGUGAAGAAGGCCUUCGGGUUGUAAAGCUCUUUUGUUAGGGAAGAUAAUGACGGUACCUAACGCAUAAGCUCCGGCUAACUUCGUGCCAGCAGCCGCGGUAAUACGAAGGGAGCUAGCGUUGUUCGGAAUUACUGGGCGUAAAGGGCGCGUAGGCGGCUUUGUAAGUCAGCGGUGAAAGCCCCGGGCUUAACCUGGGAACUGCAUUUGAUACUGCAAGGCUAGAGGAUGAGAGAGGAAAGUGGAAUUACGAGUGUAGAGGUGAAAUUCGUAGAUAUUCGUAAGAACACCAGUGGCGAAGGCGGCUUUCUGGCUCAUUACUGACGCUAAGGCGCGAAAGCGUGGGGAGCAAA
RNAcentral lists this ribosomal RNA (400 nucleotides) under uncultured bacterium. Its description in RNAcentral is "bacterial SSU rRNA". It matches the Rfam family "Bacterial small subunit ribosomal RNA", at positions 355 to 772 of the family's 1533-position model. The record is from RNAcentral.